This is a long non-coding RNA of Gallus gallus (chicken), 2603 nucleotides long. The record is from Ensembl. Lineage: Eukaryota; Metazoa; Chordata; Aves; Galliformes; Phasianidae.
AGUCGCAGAUGGUUUGGCGCUGGACAAACUGCAGUGCUAUCUGUGUCUCAGCUGUGGAAAAACUUGUUCAGUGGCCAAAGAAACAGAGAAUUGACGUUGCAGCAAAACUGGGAGCAGACUGACCAGACUUGGGCAACCUCUCCUGCACGGAUGAACUUUCACCAAUAUCCACACCUCCCAGUUCAUCCAGCUCCUGAGCUUCAUACCUGUUAUGUAAGGGCACCUGGGAAGGUGGGCAGGCUGAGGGGCAGUCUGCUUGUUGCCCCAGAGACUUGUUUACAUCCCUCACCAUCUUUGAGGUCGUCCCUUCCAACCUGACUGUAAGACAGCAGAUGAUCCUCCACUGUUUCAAGAGCAUCUCCCCUUCACCCUUCCUGUAGGAAUGGCAGAGUGCAACUCCACCAACCCAUCCCCUUUCCACAAUCCUGGAUGAUCCUCAGUCUUUCUACUUCCUCCUUUAGCUCUACCAUCAGGCUAAGCAGAUCAUACACCUGCUCACACCGCACACAGGUGGUAUCCCGGCUGCCCUCCUGUAGCAGUGACAGGGCCAAGCAUUCUCUGCAGCCGGAGACGUGAACUGCAGCAUGGACAUUCAUGCUUUCUGUCUGAGUUUCCACGUUGCUUUUAGCAGCAGCUCGCUGUUGUGUGGUGACCAUGGUUGCACCUCGGUGUGUCCAGAGAGCAACGACCUGUUAAGUGACCUGUUAAGUGCUAAGUGCUAACCCCCCUCCUAUAUGGCAAGGUGCCCCACCCUACCUGCUUGCUGAUUCAUUUGGGGUUUGCCCUGAAAAUCACUCUCUUCACAGCAAGAUAACAACCCUCCUCCCUGUGUAGUCAUGUGAAUAGGUGGCUUACCCUUUCAUCUCCUCUGAACUGCCGAGGUGAUUCACACACCCUGACUCCUCUCCAUCUCAUUGCUGCCCUCCCCAAGGCUUUUUCUAGGCAGGGGGUGUGGAUGCAGAGCCGUUGCCCUGGCAAUGCCCAUUUCGUGAGAGCUGAUGGGCUACUGUUAUCUCGGGGUUCCCUGGAUAAAGGAACCGACCAAAACCCCCCUGUACCUUGUGAUCAGUUGCUGCGGUUCUGGCUGGGAUAGCUCCGAAGCAGCGAACCUCAGCAAUCAAGGUUCACCUGUGUGACCCCAUUUAAGGGCUGACUACCACUGGGGAAGGAUAUCUCUCAGGAGAUCCCUCCUUUUGGAGUUUUCUACUGUGAGCCUUGGUCCUCAGAUAAGGGUGAGCAUUUCUUCCUUGAUAGUUUCCUUUUUGCCACGAUAAUCUUUCCAACUAUAACACCUGAAAAGUACCAUCCUAACCAUGCUACUCUUCCAAAUGUGCACAAUGGAAUGUUAAAAACUACACUGAGAGCAAUGAAUGCUGGAUCAUUCAAACAUUGAUCUACACAUCUAUCAAAAGCCAUCGGGUUAGUCAACACUCAGGGAUCUGCCAAUCAAGUUGGCCUUGCCCUGUCAUACUUCUUAGGUACUGUAGAAGGAAAUAAAGUCCCUGUAGUACACAUGAAAAAUAUGCUGGGUAGGACAGUUUGGGUUGUUCCUGCCUCUGGCAAAGGCUAGUCCAUCCGUGGGAUCACUUUUGCUCAAGAACCUGGAAACACUUGCUAGAUAAUGCAGAAGGUUGAGGAAAUCCUUCUGGUUUGUCCCCUCAAGGGGAUUUGAUGUAAGGUGAGAACAGCCAGUUAUUUGGAUAGUGUCAUGUCAGUUGCUAUAUAAUACUGAAUAUUUGAUAUCAUCACUACUGUGAUUGCUAUAUGCCUUAUGAAUGGCAUUAUAGUGAUAAUAACCUAGAGUAAAGGUCCAUAAUUGGAUUCAGCAUGUGACAAUCCAACACCAUGCAUCAUCCUACCUGACCUGAAGGACUGUUGUGACAAAUGGAGCUCACAGUUACCAAGUAAAUGAACUCCAAGGACAAUUUAGAGAGAUGACCAGCAGGCUAUAGGAAUUAUAUCUGUUUGUAAGCGUAGAUAUCAGAAAGUAGAAAAGGUGAUGGUAAUUAAUGGGAAUGUAUGGGAAAGUAUGGAAAAUGAGCAUGAUGUAAAUUAUAUGAAAUAAGGGGUGGAUAUUGUCCUGAUUUCCUAGAAUCAUAGAAUUUUCAUAGAAUAGUUUAGGUUGGAAAGGACUGAAAUCAAGAGCUCAGGUGGGCCUGGGGUUUGAUCAUAUAGGGGUUAAGUAAGCUAGCUUUAGAAACCAGGGAAGGAGGAGGAUAUCUUGACAUCUCAUGGUCAGCUGUGCAAACAUAAAGAAAGGAACAACACAAAAUAAAUGACUGUGACCGGUUUGAAUGCACUGCAAAGAGGUCAGACCAAGGAAGAUGUCAAGCCUUCGUGUGGAAGACUUCUGACUUCAUCCCCAGGACCACCAGAGGGAGACCCCUAUUACAAACAGUGCAUGCGCUGGGGGAGGGGUAGUAUGUAAAUGAGUACCUGGAAGAACAAUGAAUAUGUAAAUGGAUUCUAAGAAUUUUGCUGAAUAUAUAUGGCUUUGGCUUAUAAAUUUGUAGUGCUUUUUCUGGCUUGUGUGCAGGUUUGGUGGAGUGAUCCCCCUUCCACCCGGUUGAUUGUGCAGUCAUCAAAUAAAUCAUACCUGCUUU